UUGGACAUGGCGUAGUGGGAACGCAGCCUCUUCUUCUCACUUGCAUCUCUUGAACUUACAGAGGUAUUCCAGGGUUCGAAUCCCUGUGUCUGAA
Mycena vulgaris is the source of this 94-nucleotide non-coding RNA. The record is from the annotation of a GenBank genome assembly. Lineage: Eukaryota; Fungi; Basidiomycota; Agaricomycetes; Agaricales; Mycenaceae.